RNAcentral lists this ribosomal RNA (1534 nucleotides) under Plestiodon egregius lividus. Its description in RNAcentral is "16S rRNA". It matches the Rfam family "Bacterial large subunit ribosomal RNA". Lineage: Eukaryota; Metazoa; Chordata; Lepidosauria; Squamata; Scincidae. The record is from RNAcentral.
ACUAAACUUUUAGCCCAAUUAACAGCACAAACAACUGAUAUUUACAAAACAAACCAUUUGCAAGCACUAGUAUAUGCGAUAGAACGUGACCUUUGGCGCAAUAGAUAAGAGUACCGCAAGGGAACAUUGAAAGAACAAUGAAAUAUCUUAAGAAAAACAAAGCAAAGACUAACCCUUGUACCUUUUGCAUCAUGGUUUAGCUAGCAAGCGCAGACAAAGAGAACUUUAGCCUGCCACCCCGAAACUAGGUGAGCUACUACUCGGCAACCAACCAGGGUGAACCCGUCUCUGUGGCAAAAGAGUGGGACGACCUUGUAGUAGCGGUGAAAAGCCUAACGAACCUAGUGAUAGCUGGUUGCUCAAUAAAAGAAUCUAAGUUCAACUUUAGGUUUUAUAGACCAAACAUCGUCCUACCACACAACCUAAAAGAUAUUCAAUGAGGGUACAGCUUCAUUGAAACAGGACACAACCUGUAUUAGAGAGGCAGUAAAAGACUAUAACCAGUAAGCCCUAAAGCCGCUACCAGUAAAUAAAGCGUCACAGCGCAAUAAUAAAAAUACCAAAACUAAACACAAACUCCUAAUCUACCCACCGAGCCACACUAUAAUAAUAGUCGCACCAAUGCUAAAACUAGUAACAAGAAAGACUUCUCCAAGUACACCCCUGACUCGGCAAUAGAAAAACUACCGAACAUUAACAGACCAAAAAAGGCAAGCACACCAAAGAUAGAGCUGCAAUUAAACUGUCAAACCGACACAGGAGUACAGCAAGGAAAGAUUUAAAGUCGCAAAAGGAACUCAGCAAAAACUUGUCCCAACUGUUUACCAAAAACAUAGCCUUUAGCACAACAAGUAUUAAAGGUCCCGCCUGCCCAGUGAUUUAUUUAAACGGCCGCGGUAUUCUAACCGUGCAAAGGUAGCGUAAUCACUUGUCUUCUAAAUAAAGACUAGUAUGAAUGGCUAAAUGAGGACAAACCUGUCUCUUGCAACCAAUCAGUGAAACUGAUCUUCCGGUCCAAAAGCCGGAAUAGCCCCAUAAGACGAGAAGACCCUGUGGAGCUUUAAACAAAUUACCAUGCAGCAUCAUCCAGCCGCAACUAGUAAUAAAUUUUGAGUUGGGGCGACUUCGGAGCCAAAAAAACCCUCCGAGCACAGAAUCACCAAUUCUUACUAAGACCUACAAGUCAAAGUACAAAACUGACCCAGUACUACUGACUAACGAACCAAGUUACCCCAGGGAUAACAGCGCUAUCUUCUUCAAGAGUUCAUAUCGACAAGAAGGUUUACGACCUCGAUGUUGGAUCAGGACACCCCAAUGGUGCAGCCGCUAUUAAGGGUUCGUUUGUUCAACGAUUAAUGUCCUACGUGAUCUGAGUUCAGACCGGAGUAAUCCAGGUCGGUUUCUAUCUAUGUAGCCACCCUCUUCAGUACGAAAGGACAAAGAGGGGGGGACCCAUGCCACCGGCACGUCCUAAACCAUUAACUGAACAAAACUAAAGUUAAACAGCUAUUACCACGACUAAAGAUCGUGGUUU